This 466-nucleotide ribosomal RNA is filed under the name uncultured bacterium. RNAcentral describes it as "partial 16S ribosomal RNA". It matches the Rfam family "Bacterial small subunit ribosomal RNA", at positions 28 to 507 of the family's 1533-position model. The record is from RNAcentral.
GACGAACGCUGGCGGCGUGCUUAACACAUGCAAGUCGAACGGUAAGGCUCCAGCUUGCUGGGGUACACGAGUGGCGAACGGGUGAGUAACACGUGGGUGACCUGCCCUGCACUUCGGGAUAAGCCUGGGAAACUGGGUCUAAUACCGGAUAGGACCAUGGUGUGGAUACUGUGGUGGAAAGUUUUUUCGGUGUGGGAUGGGCCCGCGGCCUAUCAGCUUGUUGGUGGGGUAAUGGCCUACCAAGGCGGCGACGGGUAGCCGGCCUGAGGGGGUGGACGGCCACAUUGGGACUGAGACACGGCCCAGACUCCUACGGGAGGCAGCAGUGGGGAAUAUUGCACAAUGGGCGGAAGCCUGAUGCAGCGACGCCGCGUGGGGGAUGACGGCCUUCGGGUUGUAAACUCCAUUCACCAUCGACGAAGGGUUUCUGACGGUAGAUGGAGAAGAAGCACCGGCUAACUACGUG